This 1032-nucleotide long non-coding RNA is filed under the name Felis catus (domestic cat). Its description in RNAcentral is "lncRNA (ENSFCAG00000049024.1)". Lineage: Eukaryota; Metazoa; Chordata; Mammalia; Carnivora; Felidae. The record is from RNAcentral.
GUCAGGUAUCCUCUUGGAGUUUUGGGCAAAUUCCUUAGCCUGUCAAAUGCUGUAUUCUCAGUUUUAUAGAACAAUGUAAUAAGUGUAUCUGCUUCAUCAAUUUAUUAUGAGAAUUAAAUGAGAAAAUGCCUAAAAAAUACUGCGUAUCAUCAUCACCAUCAUCUUCACCAUCACCAUCACCAUCAUCACCAUCACCAUCAUCAUCACCAUCACAUCAUCACCAUCACCAUCAUCACCAUCAUCACCAUUAUCAUCAUCAUUACCAUCAUCACCAUCACCAUCAUCACCAUCACCAUCAUCACCAUCACCAUCAUCACCAUCACCAUCAUCACCAUCAUCAUCAUCAUCACAUCACCAUCAUCAACCAUCAUCACCAGCACCAUCAUCACCAUCCAUCACCAUCAUCACCAUCAUCCACCAUCAUCACCAUCAUCACCAGCAUCACCAGCACCAUCAUCACCAUCAUCACCAGCACCAUCAUCACCAUUAUCAUCAUCAUCAUCACCAUCAUCACCAUCAAUCACCAUCAUCACAUCACCAUCACCAUCAUCAUCACCAUCACCAGCAUCACCAUCACCAGCAUCACCAUCAUCAUCAUUAUCAUUAUCAUCAUCACCAUCAUCACCAUCACCAUCACCAUCAUCACCAUCAUCACCAUCACCACCAUCAUCACCAUCAUCACCAUCACCAUCAUCACCAUCAUCACCAUCAUCACCAUCACCAUCACCAUCACCAUCAUUACCAUUAUCAUCAUCAUCACCAUCAUCACCAUCACCAUCAUCACCAUCACCGUCAUCACCAUCACCAUCACCAGCAUCACCAUCACCAUCAUCACCAUUAUCAUCAUCAUCAUCAUCAUCAUCAUCAGCACCAUCAUCCUUACUAUCAUCAUCAUCAUCAUAAUUUUUCUAUUACCACUUUGGUUUCAAGACAGAGAAUGAUUUUUAAAGGGAGAGGGAAAAUAAGAAAGAUAACCAGUUGUGAAUCUAUUGCAAUGUUCCAGAUGCGAAGUGAUAAAACCCUGAACAGAGA